UACGUAGGGGGCAAGCGUUGUUCGGAAUUACUGGGCGUAAAGGGCGUACAGGCGGCUAUAUAAGUCAGAUGUGAAAUUCUUGGGCUUAACCCGGGAACUGCAUCUGAUACUGCAUAGCUUGAGAUCAGGAGAGGAGAGUGGAAUAUGUGGUGUAGCGGUGAAAUGCGUAGAUAUCACAUAGAACACCGGUGGCGAAGGCGGCUCUCUGGCCUGAUUCUGACGCUGACGCGCGAAAGCUAGGGUAGCGAACGGGAUUAGAUACCCUUGUA
This 269-nucleotide ribosomal RNA is filed under the name uncultured prokaryote. RNAcentral's name for it is "partial 16S ribosomal RNA". It matches the Rfam family "Bacterial small subunit ribosomal RNA", at positions 524 to 792 of the family's 1533-position model. The record is from RNAcentral.